CCUACGGGAGGCAGCAGUAAGGAAUAUUGGUCAAUGGACGAAAGUCUGAACCAGCCAUGCCGCGUGAAGGAUGAAGGCCCUCUGGGUUGUAAACUUCUUUUAUCUGGGACGAAAAAAGCUCAUUCUUGAGCACUUGACGGUACCAGAGGAAUAAGCACCGGCUAACUCCGUGCCAGCAGCCGCGGUAAUACGGAGGGUGCAAGCGUUAUCCGGAUUCACUGGGUUUAAAGGGUGCGUAGGUGGGUUUGUAAGUCAGUGGUGAAAUCUCCGAGCUUAACUCGGAAACUGCCAUUGAUACUAUAGAUCUUGAAUCAUCUGGAGGUAAGCGGAAUAUGUCAUGUAGCGGUGAAAUGCUUAGAUAUGACAUAGAACACCAAUUGCGAAGGCAGCUUACUACGGGUGCAUUGACACUGAGGCACGAAAGCGUGGGGAUCAAACAGGAUUAGAUACCCUGGUAGUCCACGCCCUAAACGAUGGAUACUCGACAUCAGCGAUACACUGUUGGUGUCUGAGCGAAAGCAUUAAGUAUCCCACCUGGGAAGUACGACCGCAAGGUUGAAACUCAAAGGAAUUGACGGCUGAGAGNGCGAGGAGACACGAGGGAGGAGG
RNAcentral lists this ribosomal RNA (609 nucleotides) under uncultured bacterium. Its description in RNAcentral is "bacterial SSU rRNA". It matches the Rfam family "Bacterial small subunit ribosomal RNA", at positions 338 to 951 of the family's 1533-position model. The record is from RNAcentral.